Molecule: long non-coding RNA, 216 nt
Organism: Oncorhynchus kisutch (coho salmon)
Lineage: Eukaryota; Metazoa; Chordata; Actinopteri; Salmoniformes; Salmonidae
Exons: 2
Source: RefSeq, a predicted model, not a curated record
ACUCCAGGAGGUGUGGGUAAAAUAAACAACAGAAAAAUCAGAAGCCAGGAAAGUUGAAUUGCUCUGCGUUUUAUUUGAAGGGUGUGGAAGGAAACCCUGGAGGAAGGAAACGACCUCGCUCGGCUGGCCUGGGAAGUAAACACUUGCCUAAAAAUGAUGAACAUAGAGCACGAGGCUUUCUGCAAGCUCCGCCGCUCCAUGCACCCCACCUCGCCA